This 791-nucleotide long non-coding RNA is filed under the name Corvus moneduloides (New Caledonian crow). Its description in RNAcentral is "lncRNA (ENSCMUG00000019649.1)". Lineage: Eukaryota; Metazoa; Chordata; Aves; Passeriformes; Corvidae. The record is from RNAcentral.
AUGCCUGACCCAGGCCUGUGGGUUGCAGGUGUGUGCAGCAGAGAACCCCAGGUUCCUCUGGUGCUCUCUAGCCUGCACGUCAGUCUGGAUGGGUCACAAAUCAGCAAAUACAAGUGGCCGUACUCCAAAGGCUCUACUGUUCUCUCUUGUGAAGAGAUAUUGUUCUUCCUGUCCCUACCUGAGCACUAUUUUUGUAUUAUGAGAAUGCUCAUGUUGCUAUUUCAGCUCUGGCUCAUCUUCCAUGUAUUGAGGCCACCUGACACAGGACUUCUGCUUUGGGAAUGUUACCUUGACGGCUUCAAGAAGAGCAACUAUACUGAGCCAAUGCCAAAAUAUAGAUGAUACGGAGAUAUCAGAAGUUGUGUUCCUGAGUUUUUUUUCUGAAAAGAAGAGAACAGUAAAAAUUGUUCAAAGUCUCAUUGACUGUUCUUAUUCCUGGCACAUGUAAUUGAGGAGCCAACAAGGAAAGGAUCUGUCCUGGACCUGAUACUUACAAACAAGGAAGAAUUGGUUGGCGUGUGAAAGUCAGAGACAGCCUUGAUUGCAGUGCUGAUGCUCAAGAUCCUAAAAGGAGGGAGCAGUGCAAAAGGUAGGUCUGCAAUCCUGGCAUUUUGGAGAGGAGACUUUGGUCUCUUCAGAGACCUGAUUGAGAAUGCCAUGGGAUAGAGCCUGAGCGAGAAGAGGGGUUCAGGAGAGCUGGUUGAUAUUCAAGGAUCACUCCCUCCAAACUUAAGAAAGAGUCAUACGGAGAAGUAGGAAAUAAAGACAGUGUGUGGGCUGCGUGGGUGAGC